CUCUUAACUCGCAGAAAAAGGAUCAAGGCAUAACAAUAUGUCAUCUUCAGUGUCAUUGUCUACUCAUCAUGCGUUUUCUACCACCCAUUUCGCAUGCAGCAAGAGCACAUGGGUGGAACUGAUAUCACUAAUUUACAUUUUGAUGGAAUCACCAUCAGUUACUCAAUCUUCUGGUUAUAUAGUCUUUUGUUUGGUAAGACUUAAAAGAGUUCUAUUAAUACUUGGUGAAUAGAUAUGGAUAUGCUCAACACCAUCUUUCAUGAAUAUUGUUUGACUAAUCACUAUUCUAUGUAUUAUUUAGCAUGUUUAUUGAAAGCUUCGUAUUGAGCAACCCAUAUGACCCAUGUAUUUCUGACAUCAUCAAUAAAAUGAAUAUGCAGCUCCAGGGUUCAUUGUUCAAGCAUUUCCAUGCAACUCACAUGGGAAGUAUCAGUGAAAAGGACAAAGAGAGCUGAGAAAAGAAAAGGGUUUGUCACCAAAACUCAGAAGACUGAUAAGACAUUCCAAGUUUCCAACUUCCAAAUUUGCAGUUACAGUUCAUGAGUGGAGCGUUUUGGGGAAAGAGUAACAUGGCCUUCAUGUGCCAAACCAAGAGCGAGUCACAAUCACUGAGAGAAAAAACAAUACCGUCAGUCUAUUUAACCUUCUGGGGCACCGCAUUUUUUUUUGGUAAUUAUGGUGGGCCUUUCUAGUCCCUCUCCUGUUUCUUUAUUCUUCUCUCCUUCUCCCAAAUCAAUCUCAUUCACAGAACAUGGAGGGUUCUUGGGAAGACAUGACAUGCAGGUAACCGAUACCUAUGCAUGCCUUUGGGACCGGCUGUACAACAGAUUUCAAUUCCACCAACAUGGACCCUCUAAGGUAAAAGUAGAGUUAUUUUCUACGGCUAAUAGUUGCUGGCAUGACAUGCAUUGUGGAAUCGGUCGGUAACAGCUUUUCGUGUGCAUGAAAAACUAGAUUAUGUUAAGAAAGUUUUUGGCAAGGUUCAGAAAGAAAAUGCAGAGCUAAAACUGAAUGUGUUGGGAAGUUACUAUUGAGUAACACCAUCUGUAACUAAACCUUUGUUGGAGUGUGUUGAUGGUUGUAAGUUCUUGUUAGAGGGCUAAGAAAUACAAAAAGAAAAGACAGAAAUGCAGGACAGUGCUGUAUCAGGCACUAAAUCUAGCUUUGCGGACCACAGCAGAUAUUCAAUCUGCUCAAACGGUGCAGAGUUAGUGGUGUAUGUUUGAAGUAGACUUAUGUCUUAUUUGGGGCUCCUCUUUUGAUUAGUGGUACUGGUUUCAGCAGGACCACAUGGAAAGCUAUAUGUUAUUAAGAGUUUAAGACACUAAUUCAACGCAAGUAUAACCUAAACAGUCCACCAGGCUGGUUAGAUUUUAAUUCCUUUGAUGCGUCGUAACUUGGCCGAGGCUCGUAAAUGAAAAGUACAAGCUCUUUGGCCAUGUUUAGAACCAAAAGUUUGUUCCACAGGUUUUGGUUGAGAGCGUGGGAGUCAGAAAGCUCUUUAGGUACAAGUAAAACCUUAUACUGCGAAGUUUCAAUAUUACAGAGAUUUGCUUUGUCUUUUUAAUUUUUUUCAGUUUAUCUUUUUGUUCUUCAUGUUUUGCUUGAUUUCGGGUUCUUGUAAGGUAGUAUUUCACUUGGUAGAGAUAAUCUGCAGUAAUUGCCUAGUGGUAAACAAGGGCGGUAACAUAAGAAACCCAAAUGUAAGUGAAAUAUAGGAAUCCCCAAAGUGAAAUGGUGGUUGAACCGGUUGGUAUCUUCUC
Rosa rugosa (rugosa rose) is the source of this 1763-nucleotide long non-coding RNA. RefSeq lists it as uncharacterized. The transcript has 3 exons. The record is from RefSeq and is a predicted model, not a curated record. Lineage: Eukaryota; Viridiplantae; Streptophyta; Magnoliopsida; Rosales; Rosaceae.